Long non-coding RNA from Dreissena polymorpha, 6422 nucleotides. RefSeq lists it as uncharacterized. The record is from RefSeq and is a predicted model, not a curated record. The transcript has 9 exons. Lineage: Eukaryota; Metazoa; Mollusca; Bivalvia; Myida; Dreissenidae.
GCACCAGCAUUGAUAUCGAGUUGGCCAAGCAACAGCACAAGUCCGGCCUGCAGGAGCCCCAAUACAGGACCAUCCUUUCCCUCCCCUGAUCCCUAGCUCCUCCCACUCGACCUCUGGCCACAAAGGGUCAGCAUCGUUACACAAGUCUGUUCUGCAAUAAAUCCUCAGCACGUCAAGUUUUCACGCGCUGUUAUGAACAACCAAAAUGUCCGCGUCGAGAUUUCCCCAAGCAAGCCCGAGUAGUUUUGUUUAGCUCUAGUGCCCGAGUGGGAUGAGUGUUACAGAAGCGAGACGUUAUAGCAGUACAUAUGGUAACGCAAACAGUUAACGCUAACAGUUAGUUCUCGCUGUGGACAUCACGAAGAAUCUCACAAAGAAUUAAACGUUGAAUAAUUUGUUUCAUUCUUUAUAAGACACAGGGUUCGCACAGGGCUUGAAAAGUGCUUGAAAACGAGUCCUAGGCUUGAAAAGCCCUUGAACAAAGGUUGGCCUUAAAACAGUGCUUGAAAAGUGCUUAGUUCAUGUAAAAAAGCCUUGAAAAUGUUUAUUUCUGCUCAAAAUUACUUUUAUCAUGGCUUUAAUUAUAAACUUAAAUCGUUCCUAUGGGAAAUAUUACGAAAAUGUAUCAUAGAUUCCUUCGCGCAAAAAGUUGAGUACGAAAUAUAAGUUUCGUACUAUAUUGAGUACAAAAUGUUAUGUGUACACGUCACAGAUUAUGUGUGCCAUGUCAGAGGUUCUCCAUUGUGAUCAAUUUUCGCAAGUGAAAACGCAGCAAUGGGGAAGUGUCGUUUCAAACCAGGGUGGUUAACUGAAUAUUCCUGGGUACAGAAAACAAAUGACAUUCGAAAAGCACAUUGUUGGGUCUGUAUGAAGACCAUUGAUGUCGGGGGUAUGGGGGAAAGCGCUUUGAAAAGCCACAAGAAAGUGAAAACCCUCAAAGAAAACAUGAAAUUGAGAAGCAAACAGGGUUCCUGCGAUGUGUUUUUUGUUAAACAGGAAGGUACUAUUGUUAAAACUGUUAAAUCUAAAACAGACUUAAAAAACAACAGCCCAUCUGUGUCGAACCAGGAAGGCACAGCCACAUGCAGAGAGUGUGCAGAUAGAAGAUUCAAAUUCCAGGACCUUCGCAACUUUCAGCUGUAGUAUCAAACUCGCAGACAUCCAUAGACAAAUUCGUUUAAAAAAAUGAUAUGUUGAACGCUAAAGUAUUGUGGGUAUUUAUACCGUUUGGACACAACCAUCCUUUAAUUCCAAUAAAAAAAUUACAAAGUUUUUUCAGGUUGUGUUCCAUGACAGUACCAUAGCAAAGCAUAAUUAUGUGGCUGUUUUGGGGCUAGCUGAACAUUUCAAAACUGUACUUGAUAGUUCUAUAACUUAAAUAGUGGACAGUACUCAGUGUCUCAGUACUCGGUGUCUUUUGAUGAAAGUUUAAACAAGAAAGACCAAUCCAAGCAAAUGGAAAAGGCAUUUUUUUAAAGGAAACUAACCUACAGUUUAUGGACUUGAAAAUGAAUAUUUGGUCUUGGAAAGUCCUUGAAAAGUGCUUGAAUUUAGGUUUGAGAUUUCUGUUUGAAACAUGAGACAUCUAUAUAUUCAGCAAGGAACGAGAGCAAAUCAAGGAACAAUCGAAACGAUUCAUUCAGAAGUGUUUCUGCUGUAAAUAGUUAGGACAGAAGUAGUGUUACGGACUGUCCUCAGCGCACAAUUUAUUCAUGUGGUGCGCCUCAGACGCGAAUUCCGCCCAUUAUUGAAAACAAGUUGCUAAAAGUAAACACAUCCGGUUUUGUUACGAGCACUUUGCACUCCGAGCCAAAAGGGCAUUGCAUUGAAUUGAGACUAAAGAAGGCUUGAAAACAUGACCCCAGUUUUGUUGUAUGGUCCAGUACGCCCUUCGACUCUCAACCCGAAGUUUAUCAGAACUCAAACUCGGCCCUUAACAAUAUCCGCGAGGCCAGCAUAUCAGCUCAGCUUCUGAGCUUCAGCAAACACUUUAAGCCGCCAAGAUAAAAACAUCGUUGAAGUGAAAGUAGAUGACUAUCCUGACCCCUUCGCUUAAAUAAUUCAGCACAAAAACGUCUUGCGUCAGAGUAGCAAACCUCCAAACAUCUUCUCCCAUGUUGGCUACAUCAACACUUCUUACAGCGGAGCCUUGACGAGUUUGACUUCCAUCCCAGCAUCGACUUGUUCCUUAUUGCGACUGACCUCGAUAAGUUGCUCUCGAUUAAUGUGAACCUUAUGCCAGUAUGUGAUUGACGCCAUUUAACAACAGUUGCUGUUGAGAAUUCCCGGGUUUGAGGUGGCAACUUUGGCGUCAGGACUCUCUCCAUCUCUGUCUAUGGCCCGGUCAAAGCAGCAGCAGCAGCAAUAAGAACAACAAGUAGUAUCUGAGAGGUGCUCUGCUGGGAUACGGGGCUUCAUAGCCGGUUCCCUCAGGACCCGAUGCACUGAUUAUGCACAUGUGACUCUUGUACGCAGCUGAACAACAGGCUCUCUGGUCAGCUGGACCCGAACGCCCAGGGAUUUUUUCUGGCCAAGUUUCAUGGGGCAAAUGCCCAAUGAGUUCUACCCGAGGGUGCAGCGUCUCUAGACCUGGGGCUCCAGACUGCCUUACUCAAGGGCCAAGAAUACUUUAUCUGCAAGAGGCCUUAUGCUCACAGGUUCCCCAAAUACAACUCAGCCACAACAUCCUAAUCGGCUAGUCUGGGAAACCACUUACCUUUGGGAAACGCACUCUGCACAGGCUAGUCAGGGAAACCACUUACCUCUGGGAAACGCAAUCUGCACAGGCUAGUCAGGGAAACCACUAACCUCUUGUAAACGCAAUCCACACAGUCUAGUCAGGGAAACCAUUUACCUCUGGGAAACGCAAUCCGCACAGGCUAGUCAGGGAAACAACUUACCUCUGGAAAACGCAAUCCGCACAGGCUAGUCAGGGAAACAACUUACAUGUGGGAAACGCAAUCCACACAGGCUAGUCAGGGAAACCACUUACAUCCGGGAAACGCAAUCCGCACAGGCUAGUGAGGGAAACCACUUACCUCUGGGAAACGCAAUCCGCACAGGCUAGUCAUGGAAACCACUUACAUCUGGGAAACCCAAUCCGCACAGGUUAGUCAGGAAAACCACUAACCUUUGGGAAACGUAAUCCGCACAGGCUAGUCAGGGAAACCACUUACCUCUGGGAAACGCAAUCCGCACAGGCUAGUCAGGGAAACCACUUACGUCUGGGAAACGCAAUCUGCACAGGCUAGUCAGGGAAACCACUUACCUCUGGGAAACGCAAUCUGCACAGGCUAGUCAGGGAAACCACUUAUCGCAAAAACUGGAUUUUGAUAAUGAAAUGCUUCCUUAAAAACCAAAAAAUCAAUAAAAGCGAAAGUGUUGACACUUAUUAACAUCUGCUAUCCGUUUCAAAAUAAGUUUUAUUGGAUCAUCAUGAAAAUGUUCAAUAUUGUUUUGGGGCAUACUAUCUUUUACAAGUUUAGUAACCAGCCAGAUCGCAUUGUCUUGUUUAAUGAAGAACAUAGACCGUUAAACAUAUCUAACAUUGUACACACGAUCAAUGUGAACCAGACUGUUAAACAUAUCGAACAUUGUACACACGAUCAAUGUAAACCAGACUUCUAACCGGGAGUAUUUUGUUGGUUUUAUCUUUCUUCAUUUUUUUGGUGUGUGAAAUGUCGGAAAAGUUGCGACUCGACUAAGCAUUAAUGCCACCAGAAUUUAUGCAAUUGGCGUAAGUUUCAUAAUAGUUCAUACACUCUUAAGUUUGCUGCUCAUGUUACAAAACUGUGUAAUGCUUUGUAUAAUUUAUAUCAUGUCUAAUUUUGACACAUGGUUACUUGCCUUAAGUAAAGGACAUUCUAAGUGAUGAAUAGAAUUAUCUCUUGCUGAUGCUACUGGAGUUUAAGUUUGUUGAUAUUUUAUUUUACAGGACAACUUGUCAACCAACAUGGAACAGUACCCUGAAAAUCACGACCAUCUAAAGAACUGUGCAACUGUGCCAAGCGUGACCCUUUAGAGAAAGGGGCUUCCAUGCCGAAGGUCAAAUUGGUACCAAUCUGGGCUCAAGCAGCAGCCUCAGUCUAUAAUCUAUUAUCUAUUAACAUUCCAAUCUCACAGUAAUAUUACAAAAACAUGACCUGCAAGGUGGAGAUGUGAAUACAAUGAGUAUUAAAUCCCACAAACCAUGCAGAGGUUAUAUGGGAGUCAAUGUUCUUGGCCGUUGUUCAGUGUCAAGCGGAAUCCUAGCAACCAAGCCACGUCAGCACAGCAGCAAAAACAGUUUCAGCAGCAGUCGUAUACUAAACAUCAACAACAGUGGUGCAUAUGCAUUAAGCUACGAGAGUAAACAAGUUGAUUGCGUAAUGUGGCAUCAAAGUCUGCAAGGAGAAACCAUGCAAUUGAGGAAGCCAGGAAACCAUGUGAUAAUUUCAAGCAGCUUACCUACUCUUGAAACCCGAAUAGCAAAGCAUUGAGAUUGUUCUGGAAGCAUUUGUAGUCACAGCUCAUUAAGCAUCCCCCUGAAGCAGGACCCUCAGUCUACGGACGCCAAUUGACGAAAUAAAACUUGUCAUUCAGCAACACAGCCAGUUGCAGCAGUUGUUACCAUAUUGACCCCAGUCAAAACUAGGAGCUCAGAGACAAUCAGCAACACAGCCAGUUGCAGCAGUUGUUAACAAAUUGACCCCAGUAAAAACUAGGAGCUUAGAGACAAUCAGCAACACAGCCAUUUGCAGCAGUUGUUACCAUAGUGACCCCAGUCAAAACUAGGAGCUCAGAGAUAAAUACUGUUUAAGAUAGAUAUUCUCUACAUUCCUCAUGGUCAGGCAACACAGCCAGUUGCAGCAGUUGUUACCGCAUUGACCCCAGUCAAAACUAGGAGCUCAGAGAUAAAUACUGUUUAAGAUAGAUAUUCUCUACAUUCCUCAUGGUCAGGCAACACAGCCAGUUGCAGCAGUUGUUACCAUAUUGACCCCAGUCAAAACUAGGAGCACAGAGACAAUCAGCAACACAGCCAUUUGCAGCAGUUGUUACCAUAGUGACCCCAGUCAAAACUAGGAGCUCAGAGAUAAAUACUGUUUAAGAUAGAUAUUCUCUACAUUCCUCAUGGUCAGGCAACACAGCCAGUUGCAGCAGUUGUUACCGUAUUGACCCCAGUCAAAACUAGGAGCUCAGAGAUAAAUACUGUUUAAGAUAGAUAUUCUCUACAUUCCUCAUGGUCAGGCAACACAGCCAGUUGCAGCAGUUGUUACCAUAUUGACCCCAGUCAAAACUAGGAGCACAGAGACAAUCAGCAACACAGCCAGUUGCAGCAGUUGUUACCAUAUUGACCCCAGUCAAAACUAGGAGCACAGAGACAAUCAGCAACACAGCCAGUUGCAGCAGUUGUUAACAAAUUGACCCCAGUCAAAACUAGGAGCUCAGAGACAAUCAGCAACACAGCCAGUUGCAGCAGUUGUUACCAUAUUGACCCCAGUCAAAACUAGGAGCUCAGAGACAAUCAGCAACACAGCCAGUUGCAGCAGUUGUUAACAAAUUGACCCCAGUCAAAACUAGGAGCUCAGAGACAAUCAGCAACACAGCCAGUUGCAGCAGUUGUUACCAUAUUGACCCCAGUCAAAACUAGGAGCUCAGAGACAAUCAGCAACACAGCCAGUUGCAGCAGUUGUUAACAAAUUGACCCCAGUCAAAACUAGGAGCUCAGAGACAAUCAGCAACACAGCCAGUUGCAGCAGUUGUUACCAUAUUGACCCCAGUCAAAACAAGGAGCUCAGAGACAAUCAGCAACACAGCCAGUUGCAGCAGUUGUUACCAUAUUGACCCCAGUCAAAACAAGGAGCUCAGAGAUAGAUCAACACAGCCAGUUGCAGCAGUUGUUACCAUAUUGACCCUAGUCAAAACUAGGAGCAGCAGUUGUUACCAUAUUGACCCCAGUCAAAACUAGGAGCAGCAGUUGUUACCAUAUUGACCCUAGUCAAAACUAUGAGCUCAGAGAUAAAUACUGUUUAAGAUAGAUCAACACAGCCAGUUGAAGCAGUUGUUACCAUAUUGACCCCAGUCAAAACUAAGAGCUCAGAGAUACAAGCUGUUUAAGAUAGAUCAACACAGCCAGUUGCAGCAGUUGUUACCAUAUUGACCCCCGUCAAAACUAGGAGCUCAGAGACAAUCAGCAACACAGCCAGUUGCAGCAGUUGUUACCAUAUUGACCCCAGUCAAAACUAGGAGCUCAGAGACAAUCAGCAACACAGCGAGUUGCAGCAGUUGUUACCGUAUGACCCCAGUCAAAACUAAGAGCUCAGAGACAAUCAGCAACACAGCCAGUUGCAGCAGUUGUUACCGUAUGACCCCAGUCAAAACUAGGAGCUCAGAGACAAUCAGCAACACAGCCAGUUGCAGCAGUUGUUACCGUAUGACCCCAG